RNAcentral lists this ribosomal RNA (532 nucleotides) under Myxococcus llanfairpwllgwyngyllgogerychwyrndrobwllllantysiliogogogochensis. RNAcentral describes it as "Myxococcus sp. AM401 partial 23S ribosomal RNA". It matches the Rfam family "Bacterial large subunit ribosomal RNA", at positions 465 to 1003 of the family's 2925-position model. The record is from RNAcentral. Lineage: Bacteria; Pseudomonadati; Myxococcota; Myxococcia; Myxococcales; Myxococcaceae.
GCUAAAUACUCAUCAUCGACCGAUAGUGAACAAGUACCGUGAGGGAAAGGCGAAAAGAACCCCGGGAGGGGAGUGAAAUAGAUCCUGAAACCGCAUGCUUACAAAAAGUAGGAGCCCGCAAGGGUGACUGCGUACCUUUUGUAUAAUGGGUCAGCGACUUACAUUCAGUGGCAAGGUUAACCGAAUAGGGAAGCCGUAGAGAAAUCGAGUCCGAAUAGGGCGUCCAGUCGCUGGGUGUAGACCCGAAACCAAGUGAUCUAUCCAUGGCCAGGAUGAAGGUGCCGUAACAGGUACUGGAGGUCCGAACCGACUAGUGUUGCAAAACUAGCGGAUGAGCUGUGGAUAGGGGUGAAAGGCUAAACAAACUUGGAAAUAGCUGGUUCUCUCCGAAAACUAUUUAGGUAGUGCCUCAAGUAUUACCGUCGGGGGUAGAGCACUGUUUUGGCUAGGGGGUCAUGGCGACUUACCAAACCAAGGCAAACUCCGAAUACCGACGAGUACAGCUUUGGAGACAGAGCACCGGGUGCUAACG